RNAcentral lists this ribosomal RNA (473 nucleotides) under uncultured bacterium. RNAcentral describes it as "bacterial SSU rRNA". It matches the Rfam family "Bacterial small subunit ribosomal RNA", at positions 17 to 518 of the family's 1533-position model. The record is from RNAcentral.
UUAUGGCUCAGGAUGAACGCUGGCGGCGUGCCUAACACAUGCAAGUCGAGCGAUUACUUCGGUAAAGAGCGGCGGACGGGUGAGUAACGCGUGGGUAACCUGCCUCAUACACAUGGAUAACAUACCGAAAGGUAUGCUAAUACAGGAUAAUAUAAGAGAUUCACAUGGAUUUCUUAUCAAAGCUCCGGCGGUAUGAGAUGGACCCGCGUCUGAUUAGCUAGUUGGUGAGGUAAUGGCUUACCAAGGCGACGAUCAGUAGCCGACCUGAGAGGGUGAUCGGCCACAUUGGAACUGAGACACGGUCCAAACUCCUACGGGAGGCAGCAGUGGGGAAUAUUGCACAAUGGGCGAAAGCCUGAUGCAGCAACGCCGCGUGAGUGAAGAAGUAUUUCGGUAUGUAAAGCUCUAUCAGCAGGGAAGAUAAUGACAGUACCUGACUAAGAAGCCCCGGCUAACUACGUGCCAGCCGCCGC